GGCCCGGUGCUUGAAAUGGUAACCAGACGCCCCCGGCAAGGUGCGUAUAGUCGGUUCGAUUCCGACCCGGGCCU
Molecule: transfer RNA, 74 nt
Filed under: Gammaproteobacteria bacterium
Lineage: Bacteria; Pseudomonadati; Pseudomonadota; Gammaproteobacteria
Description: tRNA-Ala
Source: RNAcentral